This 754-nucleotide unclassified non-coding RNA is filed under the name Homo sapiens (human). Its description in RNAcentral is "novel transcript (ENSG00000280906.1)". The record is from RNAcentral. Lineage: Eukaryota; Metazoa; Chordata; Mammalia; Primates; Hominidae.
CGUUUCUUUAUUUUGAAGUCAGUGACUCCUGAGACUGCAUUGGGGACAACUUUUUUGCACAAUGACCAUAUUUUACCAUGCAGCGCACUUCAGAAAAUUAUAAAAGUUUACAAGUUUUAUCGCUUCUGGAAACACCUGGGCAGCAUCCCUAUUAUCCCGCCACGUGGCUCUAGCCUUGUUGAUGUACCUGUUACUUUCUCCCACUGCAACAUUUUUGUUAAUGUCUGUGGCUUCUUUCUGCAGAAGAGUUCCUCCUCCUGACAUGCACUUCAUUCUCUGCUUUUCUAUGUCUUGACAACUCUCUUAUGGUAGUCAUUUUCUUAUACUGUAGCCCCCUGGUAUUUAUGUACUGUGUGGUAUUAAUAUUUAUACUUCCAGGUUCACAUCUUUUAUGAACUGUGCAUCUGUUGGGAUUGUGGACAGGAGUAGGAAACCAAAUAAAAGGGUUUUUUAAAAAAGUCAGUUUUCUCCGUUUGUAAGGGAAACUUGUUUCCCUGACCACCCUGGAGCAAAAUUUGCCAUUUUAAGAUAACACAGUCCGAGAGAAAGUCCUGCACCAUGCCUUUCCCCUUUUCCCAUAUUUCCCAGCAUGCUAUGAGCUGAUGAAUAAACAGACUUUGUCCUAUUUUCGUUGUAUCUAUAAAAUAUACAUAAUGUAUUCCCAUAAUUAUCAGACCUCUCACAGUCACUAUUGGUAAAAUUAUUGGGUUACAGGUUUCUUGCUGUAAAACACAAAAAUAGGUCAUAUUUUUAU